GGGGAUUUUCCACUGCCUUGGGAGUGGGGUGAGCACACAAGUGAGCCUGUGUGGCAACGGGAGCGCUCCUGCUUCCCCGCGUGCCGAGGGGAACGGGGCAGACCCACAGCCCCAACACACAGCUGCCUUUGGGGCUGCUCACUGCUGCUGCCCCACAACAUGAGCUUCUCCCCAGGGCUCCUCCUGGCUCUGUGUGCACGGUUCAUCGCAUUGCUCAUAAGAAUUGUCUGAUCGCGAGUUAUUCCCCCAGCCCUGCCAGGAGCCCAAUUUAAAUAACAAUGAGGCUCGGUUACAGGCGGCAGGUCUGAUCCCAGCGCACGCUGACUUCUUCAUUAAGCUUGCCUCGCGAGGGCUUUCCCUGCAGCCGAGCCAUUAACUGCGAGCAUCGCUCACAGCCGCUGUGCCGGUGGCAUCCCUCUCCCUGCCCUGAGCCAGCAGAGCCUGCAGUGUCACACUGGGCAGGAGAGCUUUGCUCUCCGUUGGGUGACCUGAUGGCAACCCCCAGGCCAUGAAUGUAAAGUCAAACAAAAGCUGUGGAGGAAAAGCAACGAAAAAUUCAUGAAAACAGAACAACCGACCUGUUGGUGAAUUUCCAGAGAUAUUUGAAAUGUUUCACCAAAAAAAAAAAAAGAAAAAAAAAAACACCCAGAAAGAACUGCUUUCCUAAUUUAGAAAUCAAAAGAAUUUUUGAAUGGAAAACAUUUGCAUGGGGCUUUCACUGCUCUCAAACUAAAUGACUCUGACUCGCUUUGGACAGGAGCGCAGUGCUUAUCUGACUGCUUUCGGGUCUCAUUUGCCCCAGGCAGCACUCUGGGCAGACACUGAGCACCCCAAGCUCCUGACUUUGGUUUCUGCCCCACUCUGUUUGUGGCUACCAUCACCCACGCACUCACUGCACCCAGACUGUGUGACAAUGACACCCAGUCCCUCAGCUCCUGGUGACAGCCCAGGGCUGGCCACCUUCUCCCACUGCCCUUCAUCUCCCCAACCCCUCCCAUAGCUCCAUGUGCUCCCACACACCAGACCCCAGGCGCAGCCCAGGAGAUCCCCUCCCUGGCAAGGUAAGGGCCAUCCUGACAUGAUUUCCCCUGAUCCAUUUGAGAUGGGAUCUCCUCCUCUGAAUGCUGGACUGUCAGCGGGUAUCUGAACAUAAUUAAAUCCUGCUGCUUCUUCAGAUGUCCUUGGAAGUCGUAUGCCUGACCUAUUUCUGAUGCGUCUCUGUAGCUGUCCUCCAAACCUCCCCAGCCACGCAGCAAACGAGCCCUUCCUUUGCCGGGGCACUGUGGAUGUUUGACGUUCUCUCUGGUUUAAUGACCUAACAGUAAAAGCUAUUGACACAGGCUGUAAUUAAUACACCCGGUGGGAAAAGCAAAGGGCAGCUCUGUGUGGUGAGGAGAACUGAUGGCCAGACGGGGCUGCACAGAGCUGGUCCCCGCCUGCCUGCCUCUGCCGGUGUCAACAUGCAUCCCUCCACCCCAUGCAUCCCUUCAUCUCACGUAACCCUGCACUCUGCACAUCCUGUACUCCAGGCAUCCCUGCACCUUGCACAUCUCCACACUUGUCAGCCCCUUCACCAGGUGGGUGGGAGGCACAGAGAGGUUCGGGGCAGGGUCCCAUGACAGUGCCUCACCCUGCUGUGUGCCCAGACAGGAGCAGGGGCCCUGUGCUCGUUACAUAAAUGGGCUUUUGCUGUACUCAUCAAUGUCAUGAAGCCCCACCCCGAUUACUGAUAUCACCGUUCCCAUGGCAACAGAAGUGCUGCAAAAAAAAGGAAGAAUGGAGAUGAAGAAAGGCACAGGGAGGGGGAAGGGGAGGGAAAGCCUGGGGAGGGGCUGCAGUGCCCACAGGGCCCACACCACCCUGGGAGAGUCCCUAUGGGCUGGGUGGGAUGGUGGGCUGCUCAUUGGUGUGGGGACCACCACAGCAGUGCCCUCAUGGGGACCUUAGCACUAAUCCACUUCCAUUAGUCCCAACAUGGCUUUAUCCGCCUCAGAUGCUCAGAAACCCAAUAUCAUCUACUCCAUCCCCUCUGCCUGUCUGUGGCUACAUUCUGAGAUGUUUUAUCGGUGUCAAGGAUGGCUGAAAAAGAUUUUUUUUGGCAAGCCUGAGUCUCCAAAUCCUCACAUGAUCCCAGGACCUGGGAAUAACAUCAGGAGAGAUGCAGAAAGCAGCCAAAGCUGUGUCCUACAGCCCUUAAAUCCUGGGGUAACUGCAGGACAGGUAGACAGACAGACAGAGGCAGCCAGCAGAACCUCACCAGAGUAACAGAGGGUUUUGCAGCUCAGAAUUCCCUACCCAGCCUUCCCACAUCCUCUUUUUGCAGAGCCUCAGUGGGGCUGGGACCCCAGAAUGGGGACUGCUGUCUGUGCCCUGCUCCACUGCCAUCCGCCUGGGGCUGCCCUGUGCCGUCAUUCGUGCCGUGGUUGUACAGAGGAGGAGGAAGCCAUGCCAGCACCAAGGUGCCAAUUACUCUUUCAUUAACAGCCGAUGUAUUUCUCUAUCAGCCCUCUGCUUCUCCAUACAAUGUUGAUCAUUUUGAUGGAGCAUUUGUUUUAAUUUCCCAAAUGAGGAAGCAAUCUUGUAAAUAUUGUGUGGUAAUUAAAAUGGCUAUUUAUUGUGCAGCAUUCUGCCUGCUGCCAGCACAUACUCUGAUUAGCAUUCCCCUUCCACUGAGCCUCUGCUCCCACCCGUCCUCAGCUUUAGGGAGCCCAGCACAUAGAAACCUGCAGGGAAGCACAACUGUGUCCAUCCAUCUGUCCAUCCAUCCG
This 2768-nucleotide long non-coding RNA is filed under the name Gallus gallus (chicken). RNAcentral's name for it is "lncRNA (ENSGALG00010022706.1)". The record is from RNAcentral. Lineage: Eukaryota; Metazoa; Chordata; Aves; Galliformes; Phasianidae.